GUGGGGAAUCUUGCGCAAUGGACGAAAGUCUGACGCAGCGACGCCGCGUGGGUGAUGAAGGCCUUCGGGUUGUAAAGCCCUGUGGGGAGAGACGAAUAAGUUUCGGUUAAUACCCGAAGCGAUGACGGUACCUCCUUAGCAAGCACCGGCUAACUCUGUGCCAGCAGCCGCGGUAAGACAGAGGGUGCAAACGUUGUUCGGAAUUACUGGGCGUAAAGCGCGUGUAGGCGGCCAAGCAAGUCGGAUGUGAAAGCCCUCGGCUCAACCGGGGAAGUGCACUCGAAACUGCAUGGCUAGAGUCUCGGAGAGGAUCGUGGAAUUCUCGGUGUAGAGGUGAAAUUCGUAGAUAUCGAGAGGAACACCGGUGGCGAAGGCGGCGAUCUGGACGAUGACUGACGCUGAGACGCGAAAGCGUGGGGAGCAAACAGG
RNAcentral lists this ribosomal RNA (429 nucleotides) under uncultured bacterium. RNAcentral describes it as "bacterial SSU rRNA". It matches the Rfam family "Bacterial small subunit ribosomal RNA", at positions 354 to 776 of the family's 1533-position model. The record is from RNAcentral.